RNAcentral lists this ribosomal RNA (435 nucleotides) under uncultured bacterium. Its description in RNAcentral is "partial 16S ribosomal RNA". It matches the Rfam family "Bacterial small subunit ribosomal RNA", at positions 29 to 507 of the family's 1533-position model. The record is from RNAcentral.
AGCGAACGCUGGCGGCAGGCUUAACACAUGCAAGUCGAGCGGGCACUUUCGGGUGUCAGCGGCGGACGGGUGAGUAACGCGUGGGAACGUGCCCUCUGGUUCGGAAUAACUCAGGGAAACUUGAGCUAAUACCGGAUACGCCCUUUUGGGGAAAGGCUUGCUGCCGGAGGAUCGGCCCGCGUCUGAUUAGCUAGUUGGUGAGGUAACGGCUCACCAAGGCGACGAUCAGUAGCUGGUCUGAGAGGAUGUUCAGCCACACUGGGACUGAGACACGGCCCAGACUCCUACGGGAAGCAGCAGUGGGGAAUAUUGGACAAUGGGCGCAAGCCUGAUCCAGCCAUGCCGCGUGAGUGAUGAAGGCCUUAGGGUUGUAAAGCUCUUUUAUCCGGGACGAUAAUGACGGUACCGGAGGAAUAAGCCCCGGCUAACUUCGUG